GAUGAACGCUAGCUACAGGCUUAACACAUGCAAGUCGAGGGGUAACGAGAGGAAAGCUUGCUUUCCUUGUCGACGACCGGCGCACGGGUGAGUAACGCGUAUCCAACCUGCCCCCAACUAGGGAAUAACCUUGCGAAAGUAAGACUAAUACCCUAUAAUUUCCUCAGAUGACAUCUGACGAGGAAUAAAGAUUUAUCGGUUGUGGAUGGGGUUGCGUCUGAUUAGCUUGUUGGCGGGGUAACGGCCCACCAAGGCAACGAUCAGUAGGGGUUCUGAGAGGAAGGUCCCCCACAUUGGAACUGAGAAACGGUCCAAACUCCUACGGGAGGCGGCAGUGAGGAAUAUUGGUCAAUGGGCGGAAGCCUGAACCAGCCAAGUAGCGUGCAGGAUGACGGCCCUAUGGGUUGUAAACUGCUUUUAUACAGGAAUAAAGUUAGCCACGUGUGGUUAUUUGUAGGUACUGUAUGAAUAAGGACCGGCUAAUUCCGUGCCAGCCGCCGCGGUAA
RNAcentral lists this ribosomal RNA (506 nucleotides) under uncultured bacterium. RNAcentral describes it as "partial 16S ribosomal RNA". It matches the Rfam family "Bacterial small subunit ribosomal RNA", at positions 28 to 523 of the family's 1533-position model. The record is from RNAcentral.